CCUACGGGGGGCAGCAGUCGAGAAUCAUUCACAAUGGACGAAAGUCUGAUGGUGCAACGCCGCGUGGAGGAUGACGGUCCUAGGAUUGUAAACUCCUGUCAUUGGGGAGUAAGACUUGGUUGUUAAUAGCCUCCAAGUUUGAUAGUACCCAAAGAGGAAGGGACGGCUAACUUCGUGCCAGCAGCCGCGGUAAUACGAAGGUCCCAAGCGUUGUUCGGAAUCACUGGGCGUAAAGCGUGUGUAGGCUGCGCGGAAAGUCAAAUGUGAAAGCCCGGGGCUCAACCUCGGAACUGCAUUCGAUACUCCCGUGCUAGAGUCAUGGAGAGGUCAGUGGAAUUCCCGGUGUAGCAGUGAAAUGCGUGGAUAUCGGGAGGAACAUCAAUGGCGAAGGCAACUGACUGGACAUGUACUGACGCUCAGACACGAAGGCCAGGGUAGCGAAAGGGAUUAGAUACCCCCGUAGUC
RNAcentral lists this ribosomal RNA (465 nucleotides) under uncultured bacterium. Its description in RNAcentral is "bacterial SSU rRNA". It matches the Rfam family "Bacterial small subunit ribosomal RNA", at positions 338 to 795 of the family's 1533-position model. The record is from RNAcentral.